RNAcentral lists this ribosomal RNA (200 nucleotides) under uncultured bacterium. RNAcentral describes it as "partial 16S ribosomal RNA". It matches the Rfam family "Bacterial small subunit ribosomal RNA", at positions 28 to 231 of the family's 1533-position model. The record is from RNAcentral.
GAUGAACGCUAGCGGCAGGCUUAACACAUGCAAGUCGAGGGGUAUAUUUCUUCGGAGAUGGAGACCGGCGCACGGGUGCGUAACGCGUAUGCAAUCUACCUUUUACAGAGGGAUAGCCCAGAGAAAUUUGGAUUAAUACCUCAUAGCAUUGCAGGAUGGCAUCAUUCAGCAAUUAAAGUCACAACGGUAAAAGAUGAGCA